Molecule: small RNA, 735 nt
Filed under: Pan troglodytes (chimpanzee)
Lineage: Eukaryota; Metazoa; Chordata; Mammalia; Primates; Hominidae
Description: retained intron
Source: RNAcentral
CAUGGCGGGUUACCUCUCCCCUGCUGCUUACCUGUACGUGGAGGAGCAGGAGUAUCUCCAGGCCUACGAGGAUGUCCUGGAGAGGUACAAAGAUGAACGGGACAAAGUUCAGAAGAAAACAUUUACAAAAUGGAUAAAUCAGCAUCUCAUGAAGGUUCGAAAACAUGUGAAUGAUCUCUAUGAAGACUUAAGGGAUGGACACAAUUUGAUUUCUCUUUUAGAGGUUCUUUCAGGAGAUACCUUGCCCAGAGAAAAAGGUCGGAUGCGUUUUCACAGACUACAGAAUGUACAAAUUGCACUUGACUAUUUGAAAAGACGCCAGGUGAAAUUAGUGAAUAUUAGAAAUGAUGACAUAACAGACGGAAAUCCCAAAUUGACUUUGGGAUUAAUCUGGACAAUAAUUUUGCACUUUCAGAUAUCUGAUAUCCAUGUUACUGGAGAGUCAGAGGAUAUGUCUGCAAAAGAGAGAUUGCUACUCUGGACGCAGCAGGCAACAGAGGGUUAUGCUGGAAUUCGGUGUGAAAAUUUCACUACCUGCUGGAGAGAUGGAAAAUUAUUUAAUGCCAUCAUUCAUAAAUACAGGUAUGGAAUUUGUGGAUUUUUUCCUUAUACAACUGUAAGACACAUUUCUUUCAUCUCUGAAUUUUAAAAUUAUCUUUUAUUAUUAUAGAAGCAAAAGCAUGGCAAAAAAUUAGAAAAUACAGAAAAAUUAAAAUAAAAAAUUGGCCAGGUGCA